Molecule: ribosomal RNA, 274 nt
Filed under: uncultured bacterium
Lineage: Bacteria
Description: partial 16S ribosomal RNA
Rfam family: Bacterial small subunit ribosomal RNA
Source: RNAcentral
AUACGGAGGGAGCAAGCGUUAUUCGGAAUCACUGGGCGUAAAGGACGCGUAGGCGGGUUUGUAAGUCAGGUGUGAAAUCCUACAGCUCAACUGUAGAACUGCACUUGAAACUACAGACCUAGAGUAUGGAAGGGGCGGAUGGAAUUAGUGGUGUAGGGGUAAAAUCCGUAGAUAUCACUAGGAAUACCGAAAGCGAAGGCGAUCUGCUGGGACAUUACUGACGCUGAGGCGUGAAAGCGUGGGGAGCAAACAGGAUUAGAAACCCCAGUAGUCC